RNAcentral lists this ribosomal RNA (459 nucleotides) under uncultured bacterium. RNAcentral's name for it is "partial 16S ribosomal RNA". It matches the Rfam family "Bacterial small subunit ribosomal RNA", at positions 338 to 795 of the family's 1533-position model. The record is from RNAcentral.
CCUACGGGAGGCAGCAGUGAGGAAUAUUGGUCAAUGGGCGCGAGCCUGAACCAGCCAAGUCGCGUGAGGGAAGACGGUCCUAUGGAUUGUAAACCUCUUUUGUCGGGGAGCAAAAGACGCCACGCGUGGCGUUCCGAGAGUACCCGAAGAAAAAGCAUCGGCUAACUCCGUGCCAGCAGCCGCGGUAAUACGGAGGAUGCGAGCGUUAUCCGGAUUUAUUGGGGUUAAAGGGUGCGCAGGCGGAAGAUCAAGUCAGCGGUAAAAUUGAGAGGCUCAACCUCUUCGAGCCGUUGAAACUGGUGUUCUUGAGUGAGUGAGAAGUAUGCGGAAUGCGUGGUGUAGCGGUGAAAUGCAUAGAUAUCACGCAGAACUCCGAUUGCGAAGGCAGCAUACCGGCGCUCAACUGACGCUCAUGCACGAAAGUGUGGGGAUCGAACAGGAUUAGAUACCCUUGUAGUC